This 876-nucleotide ribosomal RNA is filed under the name uncultured bacterium. Its description in RNAcentral is "bacterial SSU rRNA". It matches the Rfam family "Bacterial small subunit ribosomal RNA", at positions 28 to 896 of the family's 1533-position model. The record is from RNAcentral.
AUUGAACGCUGGCGGCGUGCCUAACACAUUGCAAGUCGAGCGGUAACAGGUGUAGCAAUACAUGCUUACGAGCGGCGGACGGGUGAGUAACGCUUGGGAAUCUGCCUGUUAGUGGGGGACAACCCGGGGAAACUCGGGCUAAUACCGCAUACGCACUACGGUGGAAAGCCGGGGACCGCAAGGCCUGGCGCUAACAGAUGAGCCCAAGUCGGAUUAGCUAGUUGGUAGGGUAACGGCCUACCAAGGCGACGAUCCGUAACUGGUCUGAGAGGACGACCAGUCACACCGGAACUGAGACACGGUCCGGACUCCUACGGGAGGCAGCAGUGGGGAAUAUUGGACAAUGGGCGAAAGCCUGAUCCAGCGACGCCGCGUGGGUGAAGGAGGCCUGCGGGUUGUAAAGCCCUUUCGGUGGGGAAGAAAAGCCUCGAGUUAACACCUCGGGGUCUUGACGUAACCCAUAGAAGAAGCACCGACUAACUCUGUGCCAGCAGCCGCGGUAAUACAGAGGGUGCGAGCGUUAAUCGGAAUUACUGGGCGUAAAGCGCGCGUAGGCGGCUUUGCAAGUCGGGUGUGAAAUCCCCAGGCUUAACCUGGGAACUGCAUUCGAGACUGCAUUGCUAGAGUAUGGGAGAGGGAAGUGGAAUUUCCGGUGUAGCGGUGAAAUGCGUAGAUAUCGGAAGGAACAUCAGUGGCGAAAGCGACUUCCUGGACCAAUACUGACGCUCAUGUGCGAAAGCGUGGGGAGCAAACAGGAUUAGAUACCCUGGUAGUCCACGCCAUAAACGAUGAGAACUGGAUGUCGGGAGGGUCUGCCUCUCGGUGUCGUAGCUAACGCGUUAAGUUCUCCGCCUGGGGAGUACGGCCGCAAGGUUG